This 378-nucleotide ribosomal RNA is filed under the name Planktothrix agardhii Os-Zam-S2. Its description in RNAcentral is "bacterial SSU rRNA". It matches the Rfam family "Bacterial small subunit ribosomal RNA", at positions 99 to 511 of the family's 1533-position model. The record is from RNAcentral. Lineage: Bacteria; Bacillati; Cyanobacteriota; Cyanophyceae; Oscillatoriales; Microcoleaceae.
CGGACGGGUGAGUAACGCGUGAGAAUCUAGCUUCAGGUUCGGGACAACAUUGGGAAACCGAUGCUAAUACCGGAUGUGCCGAGAGGUGAAAGGCUUGCUGCCUGAAGAAGAGCUCGCGUCUGAUUAGCUAGUUGGUGGUGUAAGGGACUACCAAGGCGACGAUCAGUAGCUGGUCUGAGAGGAUGAUCAGCCACACUGGAACUGAGACACGGUCCAGACUCCUACGGGAGGCAGCAGUGGGGAAUUUUCCGCAAUGGGCGAAAGCCUGACGGAGCAAUACCGCGUGAGGGAGGAAGGCUCUUGGGUUGUAAACCUCUUUUCUCAAGGAAGAAGUUCUGACGGUACUUGAGGAAUCAGCAUCGGCUAACUCCGUGCCAG